Molecule: long non-coding RNA, 328 nt
Filed under: Homo sapiens (human)
Lineage: Eukaryota; Metazoa; Chordata; Mammalia; Primates; Hominidae
Description: non-protein coding lnc-XRCC2-2:1
Source: RNAcentral
UACUCAUCUAUUGAACAAGAGGAGAACAGAUCUCUGACUGCUGAAGUAUAAAUACAAACAACGGAGUCAAAUUGGAAAUAGGAUAACAGCUGUUUUGAUGGCAAAGUAGUGUGGAGAACAAAGCUUGGGACUGAGAUUGAAACAAAAAGAAGUGACAACUUCUUUGCUCCUUGAAUUGAAGCCAGGGUCGCAGAACAGAGCUGGCCUACCUGCAGGCUGACCAUUUGACCUGGGAGAUCCCAAGCCCCAAGGGAGGGGCCAAGAAGUUGAAACGAAGGCACUCACAAUCUCCCUUUCUUAACAGACUGUGUCUCAUAAGAGGGAAAAC